This 301-nucleotide ribosomal RNA is filed under the name uncultured bacterium. RNAcentral describes it as "partial 16S ribosomal RNA". It matches the Rfam family "Bacterial small subunit ribosomal RNA", at positions 509 to 807 of the family's 1533-position model. The record is from RNAcentral.
CAGCAGCCGCGGUAAUACAGAGGGUGCAAGCGUUAAUCGGAAUUACUGGGCGUAAAGCGCGCGUAGGUGGUUUGUUAAGUUGGAUGUGAAAUCCCCGGGCUCAACCUGGGAACUGCAUCCAAAACUGGCAAGCUAGAGUAUGGUAGAGGGUGGUGGAAUUUCCUGUGUAGCGGUGAAAUGCGUAGAUAUAGGAAGGAACACCAGUGGCGAAGGCGACCACCUGGACUGAUACUGACACUGAGGUGCGAAAGCGUGUGGAGCAAACAGGAUUAGAUACCCCGGUAGUCCCUGUCUCUUAUAC